Gadus morhua (Atlantic cod) is the source of this 1290-nucleotide long non-coding RNA. RefSeq lists it as uncharacterized. NCBI's taxonomy places the organism in Eukaryota, Metazoa, Chordata, Actinopteri, Gadiformes, Gadidae. The record is from RefSeq and is a predicted model, not a curated record. The transcript is spliced from 3 exons.
CAAUAAGCAAAGUUUGCAUAUUGAACUAGGAAUCAACCAACAGAUUUGAAAGGUUGCCCCAAUACAAUUGAAACCGUAUAGUUGCUGAGAUGAGUAUUUUCAUAAAAGAAAUGCACUCUAGAAUCGCUGACUCCAACUGCUACCCCAACAAAACCUCUUUCAGGGUUUGGUCGAACAGGAAGCAAUGGAGUUUACAUGAGGAAUACAAAAAAUAUGUUUUCUCUUCAUUAUCGCGUCUCCCCCCCUACAAUGUUAUUGUUGAACAUACAUCCGGUGUCUGUGUCCAAUAAGGUGGCCUCAACCAUGUUGAGUCAAUAAACACUCGCUUUGCGUCCAGCGGACCCGUUACCUGAUCUCAAUGGAAUCCAUUACGAGGCACGUCAUUGCCUGCCAGAGGCCUUUUGCACUGCUCUGCUCCAGGCUUCUUACUCAGGCCUGCUGUCCAGGCCUAUUAACAGAAAAGGGCUGAUAGGCACUAUCGCACUUCAGCCCACCCCUUUCCCACGGGUAACACUUCACACACGACAAACUCUCUCUUGCGCUUGGUUCUCUCUGCCCCCCAAUUACACUGAAACGAGUCUCUCGAUUCAGACGGGAGAUAAGUAUCUGAAGUCUGAUGGCAGACCCCGCCUGAGUCUGGAAAGACAUGCCUGUCCUCAGAAAAUGGUGGUGCACAGUACUGCUUGAGAACUUCCACCUGGAUGGGCCCGGCAGAAGGUUCCCACACUUCAUGGAGGAGGCCAAACAAAUGGCGGCUGAACUACUUCCACCAGUCUUCAGACUGAAGCGAAAAAGAGAAGUGAAUGACGUUUCCAGUGACAGAAUACAAAUAUUAUAUUGUAUAGGCUUAAUAUUGAUUUGACUGUUUGAUUCUUUUGACAGUGAGUUGGAGCUGAUGGCAGUCAGCAUGAAGAAGCUAUAUCUUUAAGCUUCUGUAGAUUAUUUGUUAAAUAAAUUGUGAGGAAACUUUGUUGUGGUUAUUCUUCAAUGUAUAUUUAUAUCAAAUUAUGAUGGUAUACUUUACAAAAAAUUAAAUUGGAUUCAAUUAGACAUAUUAAAACAAUUACUUAAUUCGAAUUACUUAUUUCUAAUGGUCAAUUACUUAAUGAGUAAAGUGUAUAAUACACAAUUCCAUUAAAUAAUUGUCUACUCACUAAAUCAGUUUAUUCGUCUAAAUAAUGUUAAAAAAAUUAAGCAAUAAAAAUGCUUACUGACUGGACUGAGACAAAAAAAUGGCCCUGGCAUUUUUGGCCAUGGCAGCCCACUAUGAUUAUUUAUACGACAUGCGGA